Strongylocentrotus purpuratus (purple sea urchin) is the source of this 351-nucleotide long non-coding RNA. RefSeq lists it as uncharacterized. The record is from RefSeq and is a predicted model, not a curated record. NCBI's taxonomy places the organism in Eukaryota, Metazoa, Echinodermata, Echinoidea, Camarodonta, Strongylocentrotidae. The transcript is spliced from 2 exons.
UCAAAUAUGGCCUUUAUCGCAUAAACAGGAAAUGAAAGACACUGUUAAAGAGUUCACCGAACAGCUAAAGAAGGACAAUCCCCAAUCAGCAGUGGUGUAUAUAUCUAGCCAUGGCAAUGAAAAGGGCGUUCAAGGAAAGGACGGAGGGAUACUCCAAAUUCGAGAUUUGCUGGAAAUGUUUUCAGGAGUACUGCUUGGCAAACCAAAGGUUCUCAUCAUAGAUGCAUGCUGGGGAGAUGAUGAAACGAAUCGCUUACCAAUCUCUGCGUCCAGUUCUUCUUCAGCAGCAUCAACCACAACUUUCUUACCGGAGAACGCUGAUAUCUUUAUGAUACACUCCACUUCAUACGG